AUGCACAUCCUUCAGAGCUUCGGCGAUGCCUCGGGCCUCCGGAUCAACCUUGCCAAAUCCACGGCCACGCCGAUCCACUGCAACGACAUCGACUUAGAGCUAGUUCUUCAAGCGUUUGGCGGCCCGAUUGCCCAUUUCCCAAUUAGAUAUCUAGGUCUGCCGAUCACCACGGGCCGGCUACGUCUAGUUCACCUACAGUUCAUCCUUGACCGUAUCAGGGCCCGGCUUGCAGGAUGGAAGGGACGAAUGAUGUCCAUGGCAGGCAGGCGCGUCCUUGUUCGCUGCGUUCUCUCGGCCCUACCUACCUUUGCCCUCACAGCGCUGCGGGUCCCCAAGAAGCUCCUGAAGGAAAUUGACAAGCACAAGCAACGGUUUCUCUGGGGGAAGGAUCAAGAGCUCUCCGGUGGCAGCUGCAAGGUUAACUGGGAAUGGGUGUGUUCCCUGAUCGAGCACGGCGGCCUCGGUGUGCUGGACCUUCCCAAGUUCAGUCACGCUCUCCGGCUAAGAUGGCUCUGGCACAGUUGGAAGAAUCCCACUCGCCCUUGGGUUGGAACGGAACCGCCGUGCGAUGACUCGGAUCACGCUCUUUUCAACGCGGCAACGACUGUGGCAAUCGGCAACGGCGGAACGGCAAGCUUCUGGAAUUGCUCUUGGCUCGGGCCGGUGCCGCUGAAGUUCUGCUUCCCGUCUCUCUUCAAGCACUCGAGGCGUAAGGGCAGAACUGUGGCACAAGCUAUUGUUAGAGUUAUAGUUACGAUGUCUUUUGGCUUUCUGUAUUUUGGCCUUUGGCCUCCCCUUGUACUUGUAUAUAUAUGUUGGCCUUGGCCUCUAAAUGAUAUCAAGUUGCACAUUCAUAACAUGGUAUCAGAGCCCUAG
RNAcentral lists this ribosomal RNA (876 nucleotides) under Triticum aestivum (bread wheat). Its description in RNAcentral is "partial small subunit ribosomal RNA". The record is from RNAcentral. Lineage: Eukaryota; Viridiplantae; Streptophyta; Magnoliopsida; Poales; Poaceae.